AGGAUUUAUAAGGCUGCUAAAAUCCUGAAGGCUGUUUUUGUUUUGCUUGGUUGCUAGCCUUCAAAGACCUCCAUGACCUGAUCCUUGCUGUUUCUUGAUGUCCACAACCUGGGUAAGCUACUCCAAUAGAGCUCAUCCAACUCUUCAAACCUAGCAACUGAACCUAAGGAAUUCCACCCUAGCACUUUAUCCUCUUUUACCCCAGCACC
RNAcentral lists this long non-coding RNA (209 nucleotides) under Elaeis guineensis (African oil palm). RNAcentral's name for it is "long non-coding RNA (EGUI_LNC046891)". The record is from RNAcentral. Lineage: Eukaryota; Viridiplantae; Streptophyta; Magnoliopsida; Arecales; Arecaceae.